Molecule: ribosomal RNA, 327 nt
Filed under: uncultured Acidobacteriota bacterium
Lineage: Bacteria; Pseudomonadati; Acidobacteriota
Description: bacterial SSU rRNA
Rfam family: Bacterial small subunit ribosomal RNA
Source: RNAcentral
AAUCAACGCUGGCGGCGUGCGUAACACAUGCAAGUCGGACGAGAAAGCGGGGGCAACCCUGCGAGUAAAGUGGCAGACGGGUGAGUAACACGUGAACAAUCUACCCUCGAGUGGGGAAUAACCCCGCGAAAGCGGGGCUAAUACCGCAUAACAUCUUUUCACUGCAUGGUGAGAGGAUCAAAGGCGCAAGUUGCUCGGGGAGGAGUUCGCGGCUGAUUAGCUAGUUGGUGAGGUAACGGCCCACCAAGGCGACGAUCAGUAGCCGGCCUGAGAGGGCGUACGGCCACACUGGAACUGAGACACGGUCCAGACUCCUACGGGUGGCAG